GAUGAACGCUGGCGGCGUGCCUAAUACAUGCAAGUCGAGCGAACAGACGAGGAGCUUGCUCCUCUGACGUUAGCGGCGGACGGGUGAGUAACACGUGGAUAACCUACCUAUAAGACUGGGAUAACUUCGGGAAACCGGAGCUAAUACCGGAUAAUAUAUUGAACCGCAUGGUUCAAUAGUGAAAGACGGUUUUGCUGUCUCUUAUAGAUGGAUCCGCGCCGCAUUAGCUAGUUGGUAAGGUAACGGCUUACCAAGGCAACGAUGCGUAGCCGACCUGAGAGGGUGAUCGGCCACACUGGAACUGAGACACGGUCCAGACUCCUACGGGAGGCAGCAGUAGGGAAUCUUCCGCAAUGGGCGAAAGCUUGACGGAGCAACGCCGCGUGAGUGAUGAAGGUCUUCGGAUCGUAAAACUCUGUUAUUAGGGAAGAACAAAUGUGUAAGUAACUAUGCACGUCUUGACGGUACCUAAUCAGAAAGCCACGGCUAACUACGUG
Molecule: ribosomal RNA, 497 nt
Filed under: uncultured bacterium
Lineage: Bacteria
Description: partial 16S ribosomal RNA
Rfam family: Bacterial small subunit ribosomal RNA
Source: RNAcentral